Molecule: ribosomal RNA, 483 nt
Filed under: uncultured bacterium
Lineage: Bacteria
Description: partial 16S ribosomal RNA
Rfam family: Bacterial small subunit ribosomal RNA
Source: RNAcentral
UUGAACGCUGGCGGCAGGCCUAACACAUGCAAGUCGAGCGGAUGAAGGGAGCUUGCUCCUGGAUUCAGCGGCGGACGGGUGAGUAAUGCCUAGGAAUCUGCCUGGUAGUGGGGGAUAACGUCCGGAAACGGGCGCUAAUACCGCAUACGUCCUGAGGGAGAAAGUGGGGGAUCUUCGGACCUCACGCUAUCAGAUGAGCCUAGGUCGGAUUAGCUAGUUGGUGGGGUAAAGGCCUACCAAGGCGACGAUCCGUAGCUGGUCUGAGAGGAUGAUCAGUCACACUGGAACUGAGACACGGUCCAGACUCCUACGGGAGGCAGCAGUGGGGAAUAUUGGACAAUGGGCGAAAGCCUGAUCCAGCCAUGCCGCGUGUGUGAAGAAGGUCUUCGGAUUGUAAAGCACUUUAAGUUGGGAGGAAGGGCAGUAAGUUAAUACCUUGCUGUUUUGACGUUACCAACAGAAUAAGCACCGGCUAACUUCGUG